CCUCUCCCCUGAUGACCUGCACUGGGCGCUGACACUGUCUGGAGACACUGUGCGUCUUUGGCCCUGACAAGCCAGAGUUUCUGAGGAGAAA
RNAcentral lists this small nucleolar RNA (91 nucleotides) under Mastacembelus armatus (zig-zag eel). The record is from RNAcentral. Lineage: Eukaryota; Metazoa; Chordata; Actinopteri; Synbranchiformes; Mastacembelidae.